RNAcentral lists this ribosomal RNA (372 nucleotides) under uncultured organism. RNAcentral describes it as "partial 16S ribosomal RNA". It matches the Rfam family "Bacterial small subunit ribosomal RNA", at positions 527 to 896 of the family's 1533-position model. The record is from RNAcentral.
GUAGGUGGCAAGCGUUGUCCGGAAUUAUUGGGCGUAAAGCGCGCGCAGGCGGUCCUUUACGUCUGAUGUGAAAGCCCACGGCUCAACCGUGGAGGGUCAUUGGAAACUGGGGGACUUGAGUACAGAAGAGGAAAGCGGAAUUCCACGUGUAGCGGUGAAAUGCGUAGAGAUGUGGAGGAACACCAGUGGCGAAGGCGGCUUUCUGGUCUGUAACUGACGCUGAGGCGCGAAAGCGUGGGGAGCAAACAGGGAUUAGAUACCCUGGUAGUCCACGCCGUAAACGAUGAGUGCUAAGUGUUAGGGGGUUUCCGCCCCCUUAGUGCUGCAGCUAACGCAUUAAGCACUCCGCCUGGGGAUACGGCCGCAAGGCUG